UGGAAGUAAAAGUCGUAAAAGGUUUCCGUAGGUGAACCUGCGGAAGGAUCAUUAAAAAAUGUGGUACCAUUUUGGUACUAAUUAAUCAUCCUACCCUUUGUGAAUUUGUUUGUAUGAAUUUUUUUAAAUGGGUCUUUCCCUAAGUUGGAUUGUUAGUAAAAUACAAAAAGACUUAGGGGAAUGACUUUUUUAAAAGACUUUUUUUUAAAUUAAAACUUUUUGUAUUCAUUUGUCUAAAAUUUAUUUUUAUAAUAUAAAAACAACUUUUGACAAUGGAUCUCUUGGUUCUCGCAACGAUGAAGAACGCAGCAAAAUGCGAUAAGUAGUGUGAAUUGCAGAAUACGUGAAUCAUCGAAUCUUCGAACGCAUAUUGCACUUUUUUAGUUUACUAAAAAGUAUGUCUGUUUGAGUAUCAGUAAAAUAUUCUCACAAAAACAUUUGUUUUUUGUGGUUAUGAGUGUUUUGCAACGAUAAACAAGUUGUUUCACUUUAAAUUCUUUUUAAUUGAAUUUACCAAUUCAUAAAUUAAAAUUGGAUAAAAUUUUCCUUUAACGAGGAAUAACCUAGACAAUUUUAAAUUUUAUGGAUUAAUAAACAUUCAUCAGAGGAAUCUAUACAACAAAUAACUUGAUCUCAAAUCAGAUAAGAGUACCCGCUGAACUUAAGCAUAUCAAUAAGCGGAGGAAAAGAAACUAACAAGGAUUCCCUUAGUAACGGCGAGUGAAGCGGGAAGAGCUCAAAUUUGAAAUCUUCAAGGUUUGACCUUGACGAAUUGUAGUUUAUAGAAGUGUUUUCUGUUGGAGUUUUGGUAAAAGUUCUUUGGAAUAGGACAUCAUAGAGGGUGAGAAUCCCGUAUUUGACCAUGACCUUCCAGCUGUGUGAUACACUUUCAAAGAGUCGGAUUGUUUGGGAAUGCAGUCCAAAAUGGGUGGUAAAUUUCAUCUAAAGCUAAAUAUUGGCGAGAGACCGAUAGCGAACAAGUACCGUGAGGGAAAGAUGAAAAGAACUUUGAAAAGAGAGUUAUACAGUACGUGAAAUUGUCAAAAGGGAAGCGUUUGACACCAGUGUUGUUUUCUCGAAAAUCAAUUUAAUGAGUUCUUGUUUUUAAGUUAUUGUGACUUUAUCAGCGCAUUUCUUAUCUUACUUGACUCAUUGAAUGCACUUUUCGUUUAACAAGUCAACAUCAAUUUCUUUGGUGGUAAAAAGUUUAAAGGAAGGUGGCUUGGACUUCGGUUCAAGUGUUAUAGCCUUUUUCUAUGCCAUCGGAGAGAUUGAGGUCUGCAGCGUAGAUCCUUCGGGGUUAGAUACCUUUGUGCUAAGUUAUAGUUUUUUAUAGACAACUUGUUGACUAUAAUAACCCUGUAAUUUACUCGCUUAGGCUAUUUUACCUACGCUUAGGAUGUUGAG
Molecule: unclassified non-coding RNA, 1407 nt
Filed under: uncultured Neocallimastigales
Lineage: Eukaryota; Fungi; Neocallimastigomycota; Neocallimastigomycetes; Neocallimastigales
Description: partial contains small subunit ribosomal RNA, internal transcribed spacer 1, 5.8S ribosomal RNA, internal transcribed spacer 2, and large subunit ribosomal RNA
Rfam family: Eukaryotic large subunit ribosomal RNA (bases 629-1407)
Source: RNAcentral